RNAcentral lists this non-coding RNA (63 nucleotides) under Nocardioides sp. The record is from RNAcentral. RNAcentral also lists the same sequence under 1 other name. Lineage: Bacteria; Bacillati; Actinomycetota; Actinomycetes; Propionibacteriales; Nocardioidaceae.
GCCGCGCCAGACCGGCACCCGGACGAGGCGCGUCGUACCCGGCCAGCGACAAGACGAUGCCCA